Molecule: ribosomal RNA, 532 nt
Filed under: Cohnia andeana
Lineage: Eukaryota; Metazoa; Arthropoda; Insecta; Orthoptera; Tettigoniidae
Description: SSU rRNA
Rfam family: Eukaryotic small subunit ribosomal RNA
Source: RNAcentral
AUGAUUCGUGGGACUUCCUUCCGGUGCUGUCUAGCUGAACGAGUGCUCUUUUUUUGGUUUUCCACUUCGGUUCUUGCGCGCCCGAGGCGGACCCCGAUGAAAUCCUACCGCGGUGCUCUUCACCGAGUGUCGAGGUGGGCCGGCACGUUUACUUUGAACAAAUUAGAGUGCUUAAAGCAGGCCUGUUGCGCCUGAAUACUGUGUGCAUGGAAUAAUGGAAUAGGACCUCGGUUCUAUUUUGUUGGUUUUCGGAACCCGAGGUAAUGAUUAAUAGGGACAGGCGGGGGCAUUCGUAUUGCGACGUUAGAGGUGAAAUUCUUGGAUCGUCGCAAGACGGACCGAAGCGAAAGCAUUUGCCAAGUAUGUUUUCAUUAAUCAAAACGAAAGUUAGAGGUUCGAAGGCGAUCAGAUACCGCCCUAGUUCUAACCAUAAACGAUGCCAGCUAGCGAUCCGCCGAAGUUCCUCCGAUGACUCGGCGGGCAGCUCCCGGGAACCAAAGCUUUUGGGUUCCGGGGGAAGUAUGGUUGCAAA